Molecule: long non-coding RNA, 429 nt
Organism: Astyanax mexicanus (Mexican tetra)
Lineage: Eukaryota; Metazoa; Chordata; Actinopteri; Characiformes; Acestrorhamphidae
Exons: 3
Source: RefSeq, a predicted model, not a curated record
CACCCAAAGACCAGAUUGAGGUGAGUAAGAAUUUAAUGGUUGAAUUUUGCAGGUAAACAUGAACUUCAUGUGAUUUUGUUCUUGUAACAGGAGUCAGAAACCAAUACCAAAUCACCAACUGUCACCGCUUCGAACCAACACAAAAGUGAUGCAAAGACAUUGGACAUAAUACCGAAUGACCAAUUUAUGGAGAGUUCUGAUGCAUCCUCUGUGCUUACAGUAGACACUCUGGCUAAGGUCCAAGAAUUGUGGGACAAAAAGCCAACUGAAACAGUUGUAUCCAUACUGGACAAAAAUGGAAGGUGUUUUUUAAGGUUGCCAGAUUUUCAGAGUCUCAAGCCCUACGUUUGGCUUACUGGAGAGGUACAGAAUUUGCUAUCUAUUCACGUUUAUAUGCUACAUUUCUCGUUAUUAACUAUUUUGUGUUUC